RNAcentral lists this ribosomal RNA (496 nucleotides) under uncultured bacterium. RNAcentral describes it as "partial 16S ribosomal RNA". It matches the Rfam family "Bacterial small subunit ribosomal RNA", at positions 28 to 507 of the family's 1533-position model. The record is from RNAcentral.
GAUGAACGCUGGCGGCGUGCCUAAUACAUGCAAGUCGAGCGAACGGACGAGAAGCUUGCUUCUCUGAUGUUAGCGGCGGACGGGUGAGUAACACGUGGAUAACCUACCUAUAAGACUGGGAUAACUUCGGGAAACCGGCGCUAAUACCGGAUAAUAUUUUGAACCGCAUGGUUCAAAAGUGAAAGACGGUCUUGCUGUCACUUAUAGAUGGAUCCGCGCUGCAUUAGCUAGUUGGUAAGGUAACGGCUUACCAAGGCAACGAUGCAUAGCCGACCUGAGAGGGGGAUCGGCCACUCAGGAGCUGAGACGCGGCCCAGGCUCUGACGGGCGGCAGCGGUUGGUAAGCUUCGGAACUGGGCGGAAGCCUGCCGGAGCAGCGCCGCGUGGGUGAUGAAGGGCUGCGUGUCGGAAAACGCUCUUAUGAGGGAAGAACAUAUUUGUAAGUAACGGUGCGCAUCCGGCGGGUACCGAAACAGAAGGCCCCGCCAACUUCCUG